UAAACCCCAUCGUGAGGGAACCUAGCUACGGGUCAGAGCUAGUCCACUAGGUGCUAAUCAAAUGCUGUGUUACAACACUGUGAGGUUUUCCCAGUUAUAAGUGUCACUAUUAGGGUUUUUUUUAAUUGCAAAGCCAAAUAAGGCUGUCAAUUGCAUCAUCUUACCUUAUUUCUUCAGAUUAAGUACUGUUUAUAGUGGGAUUUUUGGUGGAUGUGGUGGCAUCAGCAUAAUCUAUGUUUCAGGCGUCCUAUAGAAGAGGAUUAUUCUUCAGGGGAUGUGGAAGAAAAG
Molecule: long non-coding RNA, 288 nt
Filed under: Homo sapiens (human)
Lineage: Eukaryota; Metazoa; Chordata; Mammalia; Primates; Hominidae
Description: long non-coding RNA NONHSAT012727
Source: RNAcentral